CAUGGCCCUUUAUGUCCAGGGCUACACACGUGCUACAAUGGCGCGUACAGAGGGAAGCCAAGCCGCGAGGUGGAGCAGACCCCAGAAAGCGCGUCGUAGUUCGGAUUGCAGUCUGCAACUCGACUGCAUGAAGUCGGAAUCGCUAGUAAUCGCGGAUCAGCAUGCCGCGGUGAAUACGUUCCCGGGCCUUGUACACACCGCCCGUCACACCAUGGGAGUGGAUUGUACCAGAAGCCGUUAGCCUAACCUUCGGGAGGGCGAUGACCACGGUAUGGUUCAUGACUGGGGUGAAGUCGUAACAAGGUAGCCGUAGGGGAACCUGCGGCUGGAUCACCUCCUUUAAAGAAAUGGGUCCUAGACCCCACACACGCCACUCGGUAAAGAAUCGGGCCUAUAGCUCAGCUGGCUAGAGCACACGACUGAUAAUCGUGAGGUCAGUGGUUCGAGUCCACUUGGGCCCACCAAAUGGGGCUGUAGCUCAGCUGGGAGAGCACCUGCUUUGCAAGCAGGGGGUCACCGGUUCGAUCCCGGUCAGCUCCACCAAAGGGAAGAGGCCCGCGCGCAGCGGGUCGGACGCUGGGGUGGAGAAGUAGGCGGCAGUAGAUGAAAAAGAGUAAAUAGAGAUUCAGAGAGUAGUAGCAGUGGUAGAUCAUUUGAAUCGAUCAUUGUAAGGAGUCCGUAGUAGUGAGUUUCUGAAUAAAGAAGCUGAGUACUACCGAUUCGCAGUAUGGAAGCGGUAUUGUUCUUUGACAGUUGAGGAAGGGAAGGCCAUGUUUGUCAUCUUGCCGAUGGCAGACCUCCAGGUGGAUGCUUGGGGAUAUAUGGUCAAGUGAAUAAGG
This 839-nucleotide small RNA is filed under the name Acidithiobacillus thiooxidans. RNAcentral describes it as "bacterial SSU rRNA". The stretch from base 1 to 341 matches the Rfam family "Bacterial small subunit ribosomal RNA", at positions 1194 to 1533 of the family's 1533-position model. The record is from RNAcentral. Lineage: Bacteria; Pseudomonadati; Pseudomonadota; Acidithiobacillia; Acidithiobacillales; Acidithiobacillaceae.